Molecule: long non-coding RNA, 3581 nt
Organism: Wyeomyia smithii (pitcher-plant mosquito)
Lineage: Eukaryota; Metazoa; Arthropoda; Insecta; Diptera; Culicidae
Exons: 3
Source: RefSeq, a predicted model, not a curated record
GUAACUCUUCGGUACGGUAACAACACACAGUAGGCCGGUUGGAAAAAUUUUGCUCUCGUUGUGCGACGCAAGCAAGGACCAAAAUCCACCCACCCAUUGGCUCACCCACCCACUCGCGUGCCGUACGCUAGACAACGAACGAAAGAGAAAGUGAAUGCCGUGUGUGGCUGUGUGUGUAUACUGACCCUCACACACGGGCGCCCACCAUCAGCGUGUGGCAGCCAGCGGCCGGCCGUAUUUUCACCGGACAAGAUGGCUGCGUUACCGGUACGCGUACGGUGGGAGCAACAACAAAAAUUAGAGGGCAAACAUUUGCGAUCACUUUUGAUCGUCAGCAGCGCCCAAACAUUCCAGCAUAAUUUCGGCUUCUAAACGAUUCGUCCGGUUGUUUUAUUUCACUAACUGUGAAGAAUGAGUAGAAAAUUUGGGUGUUUUACUUAAUCAAAGAUUAGAGGAAAACUAAGACAAAACAAAAGCAUAUCUGAAGUGUCAUUUAGUCGAUUUUGUCAAUGUCAUUUCGGACCUCAUCGAGAACGAAGGAGGCGCUGGUGGACGACCGACGUUCGCUUCAUGCGCGUAUUGUUGGCUACCGGGAGCGACGACGAAGAUGGCGUCCGUGAAGUGGAAAUUUAGUGUUUGGUUAAUGUGUGUUUUGCGGGGCUUUCCGGUGCACUUUGGAUAGUUAAUCGGUGCCAAAUCUGGUGUAUUUCCGGCGGACUAAACGGGGUAGAACUGGAGGCAGGCUUCAAGUGAAAGAUGCUGUGUUUUUUGUGUGUGCAGAAAAUUAACAAUGCAAAUGGGAAUGAAAAACGCAAUCCACGUGCUGUUUAGCGAAAGUUCUCGGCAUGGUUCUGCGGCUGACGACCUCUUUUCUGGACUUCGGAUUUACUAACAAAAUGUUCGUGGACUUCGGACCAAAAAUGACGAUUAUUUCUCUACGGCUACCGACCGUGAUAACAGCAUUAUUGUGUUGUUCGAGGCUAUUUGCUAUCUAGCGAUGCGAUCGUAAUCAUCGUAACAGCCACAAAACGCAUGGAGGUGGUGUCCUAAUUACUGUUUCCAAGCUGUGCCAAACUCAGAUGCGUGACGUCAGCGUGCGAUGGUCUAUGGUGCUUAUUACGGGAGUCACUUCACGGUGAAACGGUGCUGCAUUUUAUUACAAAACUGUUUGCUGAAUAUCUCGAACCUCUCAAUAUUGGCGUUUGUUUUUAAAUUAUUUUUUUUUGUAAAAGAUGCUGUUUCUCUGACACAUUAAUUCCUAGAGGUUCGAGUUACUCGGCAAACAGUUUUGUAAUAAAAUUUUGCACAACUUUGCAAAAGAAACUAUUCGUCUAGCAAGUCACGUUCAAAAGUUAGGUGUGGCGCCCUCUAUAUGGUGAAAAUUGAAGCGGUUUGCAUUGGAGCAUAUAAAAGACAACAAUUUAGCCCCAUUGCGGUGUCUGUUCGUUGGGCAUAGAACCGGAAACGUAGUGUACGCGCCGGCCUUUGUGCUAUAAAGAGCACACAAAUGCAUGUAAAAAUCGGUAACUUCAGUUGGCCAUAUCUCCAAAACUACAAAUAACCCACUGCAGUUUUGUGUUUUUCUGUUAGUCAGAAAGGUACUUUGUCGGAUGGCUUCAUAGAAGCUUGGAUUUGUUUGCGCCUUUUCGUGUUUCAACUCAAAUGAAAAGAGCCUUUGAAAACACCUUUUUACAGUUUCUUUUCAUGAAUACUGUAUAUAAUAACUAAUAUGUUACUAUAAAUUGUUCAUCUUGAUUUACCACGUCACUCUCAAUUAUGUACAGUCAUGUUUCAGGCCUUAGAGUUGAACAUAUGGAUGAAAAACUGCUUAUUAAAAGCCUUUUUAGAAAACGUCUUGUAGCUCUGAAAUCUCAAUUUCUAGAGGUUUGGAGUAUUCAGCAAACAGAUUUGUAAUCAAAUUUUACACAACUUUGCAGAAGAAACUAUUCGUCUAGCAAGUCACGUUUAAAAGUUAGGUAUGGCGCCCUCUAUACGACGAAAUUUGUAACUAAUUCCUUUAAAGCAUAUGAAGGACAGCAGUAAACGAAGCAACUUUCUAGGAGAUAUGGAUAACAUAGGUCUUAUAGGUGUAAGUCAAUAUGACAAAAAAUGAAAUUAGUUCGUAAAGGAACCUAGGACUUGAAAAAAUAGUUUUGCCGUCCGUUUCUCGAUUUGGACACACUGUGCGCCGGGUUAAUACUGGGUCAAAAUCAAGCGAAAGUGGGUGAGCUGGGUGAAAUAAAGAAAUUGCCAUUAGAUCGCAACUGGGAUUGACACUGAGAACAAAUAAAUUCGCGCAGUUGAAACAGCUGAAUGAGAGAAAAAAAAAAAUAAUUAUAAUAGAACAUACGGGUGAAAAGACAUACAUAUGAAUUAGGGUGGGGAAUCGUUAUAUGGAAAAAACAAAACUUGAUAGCAGAAAGCCAGAACCAAAUUUUUUUUUUUUUUGUUCUUUUUGGGGCCCCGAACAAUCCUGAAUUUAUCAAAAGUCGAUUGGUUUUGUCUCCGCUUGGCGCAUUGCAUUUUAAAUUUAUAUGGAGAUUUGUAUGGAAAAACCAACUUUUUCGCCGUUUUCAUUCUAAAGAGCUCAAAAUGGCUCAAAUGGUAGGUUUUUUGAUGCCUAAUAACUUGGCCGAAGACACUAAAGAGCUAGGGUGUGCCAAAAAAAUACUAGAGCUGUUUAAAGUUUUGUAUGUCGAAAUUAAUGUUGCAAAUCAUUUUUUCUGCCAACACUGCCAGUGUACCGGCGUCAGUCAGAUUUCCAUCAAAAGUAACCUCUGAAACACGUUGUAGAUUCUAUUUACGCCUAUAAUAUUACCCUAAACUUGUUUGCAUGGUCCAGCUGAGUGUAUAAACUGGUUACGACAGGUUACUUCUGAUGGGAAUCCUACUGACGCCGGUACAUUGGUAAUGUUGGCAGAAAACAAGAUUUUCUGCAUUUAAAUCGACAUACUCAACUUUAAACAACUAUAGCUCUUUUUAGGGACAUUCUAGCUCUUCAGUGUCUUCUGCAAAGUUGUUGGGCAUCUAAAAUACUACACUUUAACAUAAUGUAGUGCAUUAUUAGAGCAUUAUUGAACUCUCUAGAAAGGUGAAUGCAAAAAAGUAGGUUUUCCCAUAUAAAUUUUCAUACAAAUUUGAAAUGCAAUGCGCCAAGCGGAGACAAAACCAAUCGACUUCUGGUAAGUUGAGGGUUGUUUGGGACCCCAAAAGGAACCAAAAAAAACUUGGUUCUGGAAAAUCGAUCAUUUUUCCCCAACCUAAUAUGCAUACACACAUGUAUAUAUAGAAAAAUAAUAAUAAUGAGGGUAAUAGUAGUAGUAGUUGUCAGAGAAGUGGGAAGGGUUAGUAAUGCUACAUUAUAUGAGUGCAAUGGAUGGACGUUAGUCACGAGGUUUUGCUAGUGGUUUUAGGGUUAGUACAAACCUCGAUUAAGCCCUACAGACCCCGCCAGUAUUUAGUUUUGUUGGGUCAUGCGAAAUUAAAACCGGCGGUGUGAUAAGUCAAGCGUAAUCAAAAAAAAAAGAAAAAAAACAAGCGAAUUGCAAUUUUUGUGUUGAUCUCAAUAAAUUGUUACGAUU